Molecule: ribosomal RNA, 516 nt
Filed under: uncultured Glomus
Lineage: Eukaryota; Fungi; Glomeromycota; Glomeromycetes; Glomerales; Glomeraceae
Description: SSU rRNA
Rfam family: Eukaryotic small subunit ribosomal RNA
Source: RNAcentral
AGCAGCCGCGGUAAUUCCAGCUCCAAUAGCGUAUAUUAAAGUUGUUGCAGUUAAAAAGCUCGUAGUUGAAUUUCGGGGUCAGUGAGUUGGUCGUGCCACUGGUAUGCACUGGCUUUACUGAUUCCUCCUUCUUGAAGAACUGUAAUGCUAUUAAUUUAGUGUUGCAGGGAAACAGGACUGUUAUUUUGAAAAAUUAGAGUGUUUAAAGCAGGCUAACGCUUGAAUACAUUAGCAUGGAAUAAUGAAAUAGGACGUUUGAUCCUAUUUUGUUGGUUUCUAGGAUUGACGUAAUGAUUAAUAGGGAUAGUUGGGGGCAUUAGUAUUCAAUUGUCAGAGGUGAAAUUCUUGGAUUUAUUGAAGACUGACUACUGCGAAAGCAUUUGCCAAGGAUGUUUUCAUUAAUCAAGAACGAAAGUUAGGGGAUCGAAGACGAUCAGAUACCGUCGUAGUCUUAACCAUAAACUAUGCCGACUAGGGAUCGGAUGAUGUUAAUUUUUAAUGACUCAUUCGCGUCCG